RNAcentral lists this ribosomal RNA (253 nucleotides) under uncultured bacterium. Its description in RNAcentral is "partial 16S ribosomal RNA". It matches the Rfam family "Bacterial small subunit ribosomal RNA", at positions 524 to 776 of the family's 1533-position model. The record is from RNAcentral.
UACGAAGGGUGCAAGCGUUGUUCGGAAUUACUGGGCGUAAAGCGCGCGUAGGCGGGUUGGUAAGUCGAUUGUGAAAGCCCUGGGCUCAACCUAGGAAUUGCAGUUGAAACUGCCGAUCUUGAGUGCCUGAGAGGAUGGCGGAAUUGCCGGUGUAGUAGUGAAAUACGUAGAUAUCGGCAGGAACACCUGAGGCGAAGGCGGCUAUCUGGCGGUGCACUGACGCUAAGGCGCGAAAGCGUGGGGAGCAAACAGG